Molecule: transfer RNA, 73 nt
Filed under: Alistipes sp.
Lineage: Bacteria; Pseudomonadati; Bacteroidota; Bacteroidia; Bacteroidales; Rikenellaceae
Also listed under: 2 other names
Description: tRNA-Gly
Rfam family: tRNA
About the family: Transfer RNA (tRNA) molecules are approximately 80 nucleotides in length. Their secondary structure includes four short double-helical elements and three loops (D, anti-codon, and T loops).
Source: RNAcentral
GCGGAAAUAGCUCAGUUGGUAGAGCGCAACCUUGCCAAGGUUGAGGUCGCGGGUCCGAAUCCCGUUUUCCGCU